AUACGGAGGAUGCAAGCGUUAUCCGGAUUUAUUGGGUUUAAAGGGUGCGUAGGCGGUUUGCUAAGCGGGAGGUGAAAUGCCGGCGCUCAACGUCGGAAGUGCCUCCCGAACUGGUGGACUUGAAUGACUCUGCCGUGGGAGGAAUGUGUAGUGUAGCGGUGAAAUGCUUAGAGAUUACACAGAACACCGAUUGCGAAGGCAUCUCACGAAGGGUUGAUUGACGCUGAGGCACGAAAGCGUGGGGAUCAAACAGGAUUAGAUACCCUGGUAGUCCACGCAGUAAACGAUGAUGACUAACCGUCGGCGAUACACAGUCGGUGGCCAAGCGAAAGCGAUAAGUCAUCCACCUGGGGAGUACGUUCGCAAGAAUGAAACUCAAAGGAAUUGACGGGG
RNAcentral lists this ribosomal RNA (393 nucleotides) under uncultured bacterium. RNAcentral describes it as "partial 16S ribosomal RNA". It matches the Rfam family "Bacterial small subunit ribosomal RNA", at positions 523 to 918 of the family's 1533-position model. The record is from RNAcentral.